UCCAGACUCCUACGGGAGGCAGCAGUGGGGAAUAUUGCACAAUGGGGGAAACCCUGAUGCAGCGACGCCGCGUGAGUGAAGAAGUAUUUCGGUAUGUAAAGCUCUAUCAGCAGGGAAGAAAAUGACGGUACCUGAUUAAGAAGCCCCGGCUAACUACGUGCCAGCAGCCGCGGUAAUACGUAGGGGGCAAGCGUUAUCCGGAUUUACUGGGUGUAAAGGGAGCGUAGACGGCAGCGCAAGUCUGAAGUGAAAUGCCGGGGCUUAACCCCGGAACUGCAUUUGGAACUGUGUGGCUGGAGUGUCGGAGAGGCAGGCGGAAUUCCUAGUGUAGUGGUGAAAUGCGUAGAUAUUAGGAGGAACACCAGUGGCGAAGGCGGCCUGCUGGACGAUGACUGACGUUGAGGCUCGAAAGCGUGGGGAGCAAACAGGAUUAGAUACCCUCGUAGAG
RNAcentral lists this ribosomal RNA (448 nucleotides) under uncultured bacterium. Its description in RNAcentral is "bacterial SSU rRNA". It matches the Rfam family "Bacterial small subunit ribosomal RNA", at positions 330 to 793 of the family's 1533-position model. The record is from RNAcentral.